AAAAGUCGUAACAAGGUUUCCGUAGGUGAACCUGCGGAAGGAUCAUUAAUUACGAAAGCUUCGGUCCCCCCGGGGGCUGUCGCAUCCACCCUUUGUCUACGUGUACCUCUGUUGUUUCCUCGGCGGGCUCGCCCGCCGCCAGGAACCCCUCAAACCCUUGUAUUUACAGUAUUCAAUCUCCGAUAACCUUUUAAAUUAUUACAACUUUUAACAAUGGAUCUCUUGGUUCUG
Molecule: unclassified non-coding RNA, 231 nt
Filed under: Stagonospora pseudocaricis
Lineage: Eukaryota; Fungi; Ascomycota; Dothideomycetes; Pleosporales; Massarinaceae
Description: partial internal transcribed spacer region
Rfam family: Eukaryotic small subunit ribosomal RNA (bases 1-48)
Source: RNAcentral